CCGAGGGCACGUCCUUGAGGUCCCACACGUACGACCGGUCCGAGUAGCCCUGCGGCGUCAGCGUGAUGUCAUAGCUGGCACCGCUGUAGCCCGACUUGACGAAGAUGGUCCCGGUGCAGGUGAUGUCGGCUACAGAGCACAAGGAAGUUCACAUACGUGCACGCACAGGUAGGGAGGGUACGGUACGUUCGAGUAAGCGGGGGAGUGGAAGGGAGUGAGUGGGAGGCCACCUGCUGUAGUGGUGGCAGAGGGGCGCUGCCCACCGACAGAGCUGCACACGCCCCCAGCCGCCGGCACCCGAGGGUGUGUGCAGCUCGGCCGUGCGUGCAACGCCUGAGUGCCUGACCCCAGCCCAGCUGCCUGCUGCAUGGUCGCUACGACCGCUGACGCUGCUGCCACCCAACCGCUUUCUCCACACAAGCAAGACGUCGCGGGACGGCGGAGGACGGCGGAGGUAGGGUGGGCGCCUCAUCACGCGUACGGCGAGCGAGCGUCGGCGGGCGCCGCAGCAUGGACAGGCAUACCCCGCAGGAAUUAUACGUUGCUACUACAAGGGGAUCACUGGGAUGCCUAACGCGGCGAGUAAACAAGCGAGCCGAACAAGAUUGCAUCCCAGCUUCCCGUGUAAGGUGGCUCUGGUUUUCUCAGCUGUGCGCACUUACGAGAAGCUACUGCGCUCGUGAUGGCUGCGACGAGCAGCGCCGCAACGUGGAGACCGGGCCGCAUCGUGUCGCGAGCUUGAAGCCGAGCUUGAAGCUCCUGUAUGCAGCCUUACUUGCCUUCAAGCCAGCUCCCCUAAUACUCGAAAGCUUACUCAAUGAACUAUGUGGUGGUUCUCAUGGAACAACGACGACGGCAGGCCACGCAACCGGCCAAAGUCGCACAAGUACUGUACGGAUGUGCGGGCUGUGUGGGCUGUGUGGGUUAUUUCAUGAAGCGUGGAGACAGUAAGGUUGGGAGACUGUCUAGGCAGGUUGAAACGCUCCUAACUCGAGUUCAAGUUGGGCAGAGUCGGGCCAGGUCGGGCACGGCGGUACCGUCGGGCACGUCGGUUAUCCACACUAGACUCGGCCUGACUCGACCAAGUCGCGCGAUUGCGGACACUUAGGCCUUUGAAAGAUUUCCAAACGACACAAACGAGCAUCCUUUGCAAGGUAUCGCAGCCUGGUCGGGCCGGGCGCGUGUCCAGGGUAUCGCACUGCUUCGAUGUCUCGCGUUCCCGGCAGCUGCCCGGCGUGGAGGCCUCGCGCUGAGGAGGGGCCCCAGCCACUUUUCCACCCGCGCCCGGGUCACCGGUUCGGCCAACGGCCCAGGGCCUAUCUCUUCCAAGUGCUGCCAUACCGCUGCCUGCUGAGGAUACAUGCAUGCUUCACACCAUACAUGGCAGGUCCUGUGCCACACAUUUGCCGCCUUCUCAGAGGUGCUGCUCCUCCUUUGUUGCAUCGGGAUCGUUAACGUGCAGUACCAGGGGUAUGGUAGACUCGCACGCUGGUAUCAUCUCUCUGGCCCAGGUAUCCAUGGCGCUACUUGCGCAUGAUGCCGCUUAGCGCAUAGAGUUUACAUGUCGGACGACACCCGUGGACAUGCCAGGGGUGUGUGAUGGGACAGUGGCAAGGCAGGUUGGCAAAGUCCCUUAGGGCGCAGCUAAUUCCCAUACCCAACAAAUGGCAAACAGUUGGCAGAGGCAGGGCAAGAGUGCGCGGCUGGGCUAACGCCGGAGUUACUGUACCGACGAGUUGCUGGCUGGCUGGAAGUUUGCUGACGCGCAUUCCUCACGCUCCAAAGCCGUGGACAUGCCAGGGGUUCAUGAUGGUGCUGAGCGCCACAGCAGUUGGCGCACCGGGCGCACGCGCCGCAGGCAUCAUAAGAAGCACCGGUAACACUGGGGUACAAGCCGCGACGCCGACCCUGCGGGCUGCGGGUCUACACCAUACGCAUGCUUGCUGCUUCCGUGCCUUGUCACCGCCACUUCCACUUGCUUGCUUCGAGACCGCCCCAGCCAGCACUGUCAGGUGCAGGUCUCAACCCGGUUACUGUAGCGUACGUUGAUAAAAAUAACCACAACAGCAGUCACCAAAAACGGGUUGAAUCCAAAUGAAGCCCAUCAAAGCGCGCACGCGUGAUUACGAAGCCGCGCGCCGCGCUGUGACCCAGCCCGUCAACUCCAACCACACGCCCAACCUUCCGGUUGGGCUCCGGUAAACCGUGACAGUGAUGUCACAGAUGUCACAUUGAUUGCAGAGGAUGAAUGCACACGAUAGACUUCACGCGCGCUAAUACAUACUCAGCGGGGCAACACAUGUACGGCAUCGUCCUGACUGGCUACUCCACGAUUGCUCCGAUGCGCCUUUACGGAGCAGGCGAGGUGCGCUUGCUGCCAACGCGCUUGCGGCCACCAGCGCCGCCGCUGCCAGCCGGCUUGUUGCCGCCCUUGUUGCCGCCCCGCUUGCCCCCAGUGGACUUGCCACCGGCACCGCCCUUCUUGCCACCGGCACCACCGCCCCUCUUGCCGCCCGCACCGCCGUUCUUGCUGCCACGGGUCGCGGCGGGAUCUGCAAACAUACCGGUAGGACAGCAAAAGCGAGGGCAGUCAGGGCACACGAUGUACGACAGGCUGGGGCACUGGAGUACUGAAGACACUGCAGCGCACCCAAGUUGACACUCCACAAUCGGGGCGGUCCAGCCCUGCAUGCGGCACUGGGUUCCCUGGCUGCCCGAUGGUUACCGACAUAACCACACCCACACACCCACAAGCCAAGCAAGGGAGCCGCCAUCAACCCCAUCCCCACACGCACCGGUGGACGCAGCAGAGGCGCGGCCAGCAUGGCGGGUCUGGGUGGUCGAGCCUGAUGCGGUGAGGCAGAAGCGGUACAGAAGAGAGUGAGUGCAGGGAUGGGAAGCAGGGUGGUGUGGCUAAGCAUCAGGUGCUCAGCACGGUCUUACACGGCCGGACGGGGGCUGCUACACGCCGUGGUCUUCACAGGACUCACAGCCGCGCAAACGCCAUGCACACGGUGCCAACCGCAAGUGUAGGCAGACCGGGCACAACACACAGCACUCCACAUUUAUAUUAUUUGCCCCGGACGCGGUCCACCAAAUAGAUACCCGCGAGCAGGGGAGAGACCGGGCUUCCCUUCCAUCCGCGAUCCCUAGCUUGCUUACCCGUCUCCGCGAGCAGGUGGCGACCAGGCUUGCCGCUGGGCUUCUUUCCGGGCUUCUUCCCGGGCUUCUUUCCGGGCUUCUUCUUGCCGCCAGGGGCUGCGGGGCGCGCGAGGGGGAAGACAUGUAGGCAGGAAGGAAACGCCAGGUACACGGUAGGAAGCAAGAGAUAUUGCAUUGCGAGCCGCCCCGGUCAAAGAAGGGCCUCAGGUAAACGGACAGCCGGGGGCAACCAUGCCGCACGUGGGCGCGCUACUUAAGCUUACAAGGCUUGGGCGAGGGCUUGGGCGAGGGGCUGGGCUUGGGCGAAGGGCUGGGCUCUGGGGAGGGACUGCUGGGAUCCUCGCCGUUGUCAUCGCCAGAUUCGGGCGAGGGGCUAGGGCGGGGCGAGGGGCUGGGCUUGGGCGAGGGGCUGGGCUCUGGGGAGGGGCUCGGCUUGGGCGAGGGGGAGGGGGAGGGCUUGGGCGAGGGGGAGGGCUUGGGUGAGGGGCUGUGUUCCUCGUUGUCGGACUCCGGAGAGGGAGAGGGCUUGGGCGCGCCUGCGAACCGGGGAAGGGGUUAGUGGCCGAGCCUAACCAGUACGAUAGGUCCCAUCUUUAUUGAGAAGCCCAACCAUCGAGAGCGAGGGCAUGUGCCUGCGUGUCGUGCGUGUGCAUGCACCCGUGUGCGUGUCAUGCGUGUCACGGCAGGUCCGGGCCGGCUACCCAGCCCGACUCGCAGCAGGUGCCUCCCGUACUGGUAGUGCAUGCGUUGAGUCUACACAUACCCCCUUGUCACCUGCGGGCGUGGUGGGCGUCUUCGGUCGCGACUUGGGCAGCCGGAAUUGGGGGUCGUUGUACAGGAGGGCCACGGCCGAGAGGCGGGAGCCCCAGCCGGCGGGCAUGGGGCUCAGGGCGCCAGCGCAGCUCGUGCCGUCGGCGGAGGCGGCGCAGGUGACGUUGACGGAGACGCCGCCUCCGUUGCCGCGCGACCCGGGCUCAGCCCACACGCGCAUGAUGAUCUUCCUGCGCGCGUAAAAAGGGGGGGAUGUGCGAAGUGUAAACGGAAGCCGUUGACUGCAAGGUGGGGGCUUUCGACAGGCUUGAUGUAUCGCGAGGAGACAUGUGCCCGAGCACGGCCGGGUCAGACGCCACGUCAUGUUGUUGCGCCCGCCGCCUCGCAGGUAGGCUCGCACUCACUCAUAGUCGGCGGCGCAGGAGGCGGUGCUGUCGUCCAGGCAGGUGCAGGACAGCUUGAGUGAGUUGGCCAGGUCAUCCCAGGUGGGCUUGCCGGGAACCUGCUUGGGGCCGCAGGGGGGGGGAGGCAGAGAGGGGGUGGUGAAGACGGUGGUCGUCUGAGAGCGGCGCGUCGCGGGUUGCUCCCAGUCUCCAUUUGCAAGGUCAGGACACGGCAGUGGCCCCUAGGCUACGGGCGAACGCAGAACUGAAGGCGUACAUGGGGGCUGUACGCAGGUUCUUCCGCUUGCACCUGCCGCUCCAUACGCAGGCAUCUGCAGUGUAAGCUACUACGCUGGUUGCGGCCUGCAACUGCGGCCACCGCUGCUGGCCACUCACACAGCACCACGCCGCUAGACACGCCCGUGCACGGACGCCCGCGGAUGCCUCUUCCCCCGACCCCCCACCGGCGAUGCGUCGCACUCACCCCCGAGGGCACGUCCUUGAGGUCCCACACGUAUGACCGGUCCGAGUCGCCCUGCGGCGUCAGCGUGAUGUCAUAGCUGGCACCGCUGUAGCCCGACUUGACGAAGAUGGUCCCCGUGCAGGUGAUGUCAGCUACAGUGCACAAGGGAGUUCAGUGUAGCGAGUUGCGUACAGUGUCAACCAGUACUCAGAUUUUGCAACAUGGGUACAGCUGUAAGCACGGCGUUUCUCAAAAGGAAAGCGAGAACUGGUG
This 5052-nucleotide long non-coding RNA is filed under the name Chlamydomonas reinhardtii. RNAcentral's name for it is "long non-coding RNA (CREI_LNC000117)". Lineage: Eukaryota; Viridiplantae; Chlorophyta; Chlorophyceae; Chlamydomonadales; Chlamydomonadaceae. The record is from RNAcentral.